This 522-nucleotide ribosomal RNA is filed under the name uncultured bacterium. RNAcentral's name for it is "bacterial SSU rRNA". It matches the Rfam family "Bacterial small subunit ribosomal RNA", at positions 371 to 884 of the family's 1533-position model. The record is from RNAcentral.
AUGGACGAAAGUCUGACGGAGCAACGCCGCGUGAGUGAAGAAGGUUUUCGGAUCGUAAAACUCUGUUUUCAGGGACGAAUGUGCAAUAUGUGAAUAAUGUGUUGUAAUGACGGUACCUGACAAGAAAGCCACGGCUAACUACGUGCCAGCAGCCGCGGUAAUACGUAGGUGGCAAGCGUUGUCCGGAAUUAUUGGGCGUAAAGCGCGCGCAGGUGGGAUAAUCAGUCUGAUGUUAAAGUUCGGGGCUUAACCCCGUGAAGCAUUGGAUACUGUUAUUCUUGAGUGCAGGAGAGGAAAGUGGAAUUCCUAGUGUAGCGGUGAAAUGCGUAGAUAUUAGGAGGAACACCAGUGGCGAAGGCGACUUUCUGGACUGUGUCUGACACUGAGGCGCGAAAGCCAGGGUAGUGAACGGGAUUAGAUACCCCGGUAAUCCUGGCCGUAAACGAUGGGUACUAGGUGUUGGGGGUAUCGACCCCUCCAGUGCCGGAGUUAACGCAAUAAGUACCCCGCCUGGGGAGUACG